RNAcentral lists this ribosomal RNA (301 nucleotides) under uncultured bacterium. RNAcentral's name for it is "partial 16S ribosomal RNA". It matches the Rfam family "Bacterial small subunit ribosomal RNA", at positions 509 to 807 of the family's 1533-position model. The record is from RNAcentral.
CAGCCGCCGCGGUAAUACGAAGGGUGUAAGCGUUAAUCGGAAUUACUGGGCGUAAAGCGCGCGUAGGUGGUUUGGUAAGAUGGAUGUGAAAUCCCCGGGCUCAACCUGGGAACUGCAUCCAUAACUGCCUGACUAGAGUACGGUAGAGGGUGGUGGAAUUUCCUGUGUAGCGGUGAAAUGCGUAGAUAUAGGAAGGAACACCAGUGGCGAAGGCGACCACCUGGACUGAUACUGACACUGAGGUGCGAAAGCGUGGGGAGCAAACAGGAUUAGAUACCCCUGUAGUCCCUGUCUCUUAUAC